RNAcentral lists this ribosomal RNA (253 nucleotides) under uncultured bacterium. RNAcentral's name for it is "partial 16S ribosomal RNA". It matches the Rfam family "Bacterial small subunit ribosomal RNA", at positions 524 to 776 of the family's 1533-position model. The record is from RNAcentral.
UACGUAGGGGGCAAGCGUUGUCCGGAAUCAUUGGGCGUAAAGAGCGCGUAGGCGGCCCAGUAAGUCCGCUCUGAAAGUCAGGGGCUCAACCCCUGGAUGCGGGUGGAUACUGCUGGGCUAGAGUCCGGAAGAGGUGAGUGGAAUUCCUGGUGUAGCGGUGAAAUGCGCAGAUAUCAGGAGGAACACCGAUGGCGAAGGCAGCUCACUGGGACGUAACUGACGCUGAGACGCGAAAGCGUGGGGAGCAAACAGG